Molecule: ribosomal RNA, 428 nt
Filed under: uncultured bacterium
Lineage: Bacteria
Description: bacterial SSU rRNA
Rfam family: Bacterial small subunit ribosomal RNA
Source: RNAcentral
GUGGGGAAUCUUCCGCAAUGGGCGAAAGCCUGACGGAGCAACGCCGCGUGGGUGACGAAGGCCUUCGGGUUGUAAAGCCCUGUCUUAUGGGAAGAAGAAAGUGACGGUACCAUAGGAGGAAGCCACGGCUAACUACGUGCCAGCAGCCGCGGUAAUACGUAGGUGGCAAGCGUUGUCCGGAAUUACUGGGCGUAAAGGGCGAGUAGGCGGUUAUUUAAGUCAGGUGUGAAAACUCUCGGCUCAACCGGGAGAUUGCACCUGAUACUGGAUGGCUUGAGUGCAGGAGAGGGCAGUGGAAUUCCUAGUGUAGCGGUGAAAUGCGUAGAUAUUAGGAGGAACACCAGUGGCGAAGGCGGCUGCCUGGACUGUAACUGACGCUGAGGCGCGAAAGCGUGGGGAGCAAACAGGAUUAGAAACCCCUGUAGUCC